UAUAGUGUAGCCGAGUGGCCUAUGGUGAUGGUUUUAGGCACCAGUCUCGUCGGAGUCAAGGGUUCGGAUCCCUUCGCUGUCA
This 82-nucleotide transfer RNA is filed under the name Daphnia pulex (common water flea). It matches the Rfam family "tRNA". From Rfam's summary of the family: Transfer RNA (tRNA) molecules are approximately 80 nucleotides in length. Lineage: Eukaryota; Metazoa; Arthropoda; Branchiopoda; Diplostraca; Daphniidae. The record is from Rfam by way of RNAcentral.